This is a long non-coding RNA of Bufo bufo (common toad), 1217 nucleotides long. RefSeq lists it as uncharacterized. Lineage: Eukaryota; Metazoa; Chordata; Amphibia; Anura; Bufonidae. The record is from RefSeq and is a predicted model, not a curated record. The transcript has 3 exons.
CAUUUUUUGCAUGGUGUUCUAUCAGAAAGAUCUAAAGAAAAAGUAACGUCAGAGGAAGAGGUCCAUACUUCCCUGCCAAAACAUAAAGGGGGAGAUUUCUCAAGACUAGCACUUUUUUGCACCAGUCUUGAUAUCCCCUGCGCUGCCAGAGGUUGCACCUAGUUUAUGAUGAGUAAUAAAUUAGGUGCAUCCUCCGACAGUCCGUGCACCCAAACAAAUCUACAGCAGCUCUGAGCCGCCGAAGAUUGAGCUUCAUUUGUGCCAGAAAACUGGCAUAAAAAGAAGAUAAAAAAGUUUGUUAGGGCAGCUGGCCACACUUUUUUUUUUUUUUAAAUGUAGUACAUAGCAUGGCAACACCCUUAAAAAAUUCUGUGGUUUUUUUUUGGGGGGGGGGGGGGGGGGAAUAAAUCUGAGAAAAAGUGGUGCCUAUGCUGCAAACCCUCUAUACUUCCUCUUACCGGUUUUAUAAACCACUGCAAAUAAAUGCAUCACCAGUGAUAGCAGAUAAUGCGGACAUCUCAAUGGUCGAAGGUCUCCCAGCCAUGAAACGCCUAAAAAUGUAGCAGGAGCUACAGAAAAGGAGAACAAAAAUCCCACAGCAUGAGGUAAUGACCGAAAGUACAUACCCUGUCCUUUAGAUGGAAAUUAAUUUUGACCCUCUAAAAAUUUUUUUGCUUGGAGUCCUCCAUGUAUGCGGCAACAAAAAUUCUGAUACUGGUCACAUGAUUUAAAAAGUUGAAGGAAAAAAUUUUAUGAAAAUAAAAAAUGGUAACAGACAUGUAAAAGGAGGAAGACCGGUCAACCGCUCAAAGACGACCGGUCAACUCUCCUGACCUAUUUUAAGUAAAUCCUUCCACAUUAUAUAACCGUUCUGAAGCAUCUUUUCUCAUGACUCUUGUGCUGCGACGUAUUAUUAUUACUCCAAGAAAGGUGUGGCAGAUGGGUGUUGGCACAGUCCAAUCUAUUCAGUACGGAUUGGACAGACUGUGCAGGGACACAUCCCCAACUGGUAACACCCAGAUGUCAAUUUAUUCAUACACUUCCAGAAGGAGUAACAGAGGAACGGCACAAUUCAGAGUUUAAAGGAAAAGAUGGGUCCCCUCUAAUGUAAAACAAAUCUAAAAAGCAGGAAAAACAUGUUGUGCAGGGAUAAGGAAACCAAUUUACUGGACCUUUCAGCCAGGCUGGCAGCUAUCUCCUUCCUAUAAAACCGUAGA